This 373-nucleotide ribosomal RNA is filed under the name Escherichia coli. RNAcentral describes it as "partial 23S ribosomal RNA". It matches the Rfam family "Bacterial large subunit ribosomal RNA", at positions 1 to 413 of the family's 2925-position model. The record is from RNAcentral. Lineage: Bacteria; Pseudomonadati; Pseudomonadota; Gammaproteobacteria; Enterobacterales; Enterobacteriaceae. RNAcentral also lists the same sequence under 1 other name.
GGUUAAGCGACUAAGCGUACACGGUGGAUGCCCUGGCAGUCAGAGGCGAUGAAGGACGUGCUAAUCUGCGAUAAGCGUCGGUAAGGUGAUAUGAACCGUUAUAACCGGCGAUUUCCGAAUGGGGAAACCCAGUGUGAUUCGUCACACUAUCAUUAACUGAAUCCAUAGGUUAAUGAGGCGAACCGGGGGAACUGAAACAUCUAAGUACCCCGAGGAAAAGAAAUCAACCGAGAUUCCCCCAGUAGCGGCGAGCGAACGGGGAGCAGCCCAGAGCCUGAAUCAGUGUGUGUGUUAGUGGAAGCGUCUGGAAAGGCGUGCGAUACAGGGUGACAGCCCCGUACACAAAAAUGCACAUACUGUGAGCUCGAUGAGU